Molecule: ribosomal RNA, 424 nt
Filed under: uncultured bacterium
Lineage: Bacteria
Description: bacterial SSU rRNA
Rfam family: Bacterial small subunit ribosomal RNA
Source: RNAcentral
UAAGGAAUAUUGGACAAUGGGCGGAAGCCUGAUCCAGCCACGCCGCGUGCAGGAAGAAGGUCCUAUGGAUUGUAAACUGCUUUUGUCAGAGGCGAAAGUGUAUGAUUUAUCAUAUUUUGACGGUAUCUGGCGAAUAAGCACCGGCUAACUACGUGCCAGCAGCCGCGGUAAUACGUAGGGUGCAAGCGUUAUCCGGAUUUACUGGGUUUAAAGGGUCCGCAGGCGGUCUGUUAAGUCAGUGGUGAAAUAGCAGGGCUCAACCUUGUUGCUGCCAUUGAUACUGGCGGACUUGAGAAUAGUAGAGGUGGGCGGAAUGUAGCAUGUAGCGGUGAAAUGCGUAGAUAUGCUACAGAACACCGAUUGCGAAGGCAGCUCACUGGACUAUUUCUGACGCUAAUGGACGAAAGCGUGGGUAGCAAACAGG